Molecule: long non-coding RNA, 429 nt
Filed under: Gallus gallus (chicken)
Lineage: Eukaryota; Metazoa; Chordata; Aves; Galliformes; Phasianidae
Source: RNAcentral
UAAAACUUGGACAUUUUUAACAGGGAAAGUAUGUAUAUAGCUGGGCUGGAAAGAGCAGCAAUAAAGAUUGGUCCAAGAAACGUUCUUGGGACAACUCCAGGAAAUUCAUGGUGGUCAUACUUAUCCAAGUCCAGUUGGUGGUACACAACAUCAUGGAUAGCCUGUAGGUUAAAGCUUUCUUCCACUUUUGUAAAUGGGCAGACAGUUAAAUGAACAAAGGCCACAACAAUAAUCAACAACAAUAAUGGGAAUGACCGUCCACUUGAGCUCCUCUUCUGAGCCAUCUUGUGUACAAAAUUUGUGUAUGUUCACCUCUACCCUCAGCGCCGCGCCCUGUCGCGCUUUGUCCCGUCCCGCCUCACGCUCACCCCCCACCCCCCGGGUCUCCACGUGGCCGCCCCGCAGAGGGCGCCGGCAGGACGGGACGAG